Molecule: ribosomal RNA, 1109 nt
Filed under: uncultured organism
Description: bacterial SSU rRNA
Rfam family: Bacterial small subunit ribosomal RNA
Source: RNAcentral
AUACUCCUACGGGAGGCAGCAGCAGGGAAUAUUGCCACCAUAGGCGAAAGCCUGAUGCAGCGACGCCGCGUGAGUGAAGAAGGCCUUCGGGUCGUAAAGCUCUUUUGUAGGGGAAGAGGAAGGACGGUACCCUAAGAAGAAGCGUCGGCUAACUACGUGCCAGCCAGCCGCGGUAAGACGUAGGACGCGAGCGUUAUCCGGAAUUACUGGGCGUAAAGGGCCAGCAGGCGGCUUGGUAAGUUGUGCGUGAAAGCCUCGUGCUCAACGCGAGGAAGCCGGACAAUACUGUCAAGCUAGAGGGCAUCAGAGGGGAGUGGAAUUCCCGGAGUAGCGGUAAAAUGCGCAGAUAUCGGGAGGAACACCGAUGGCGAAGGCAGCUCCCUGGGAUGCACCUGACGCUAAGAGGCGAAAGCUAGGGGAGCGAACAGGAUUAGAGACCCUGGUAGUCCUAGCUGUAAACGCUGGGUGCUAGGUGUGGGACGUAGAAGUUCCGUGCCGGAGCAAACGCGAUAAGCACCCCGCCUGGGAAUUACGGUCGCAAGGCUAAAACUCAAACGAAUUGACGGGGCCCCGCACAAGCAGCGGAGCGUGUGGUUCAAUUCGAUGCUACACGAAGAACCUUACCUGGGUUUGACAUGUACGUGGUACGAAGGCGAAAGCCUAAGGACCCUUCGGGGAGCGUACACAGGUGCUGCAUGGCUGUCGUCAGCUCGUGCCGUGAGGUGUCGGGUUAAGUCCCGUAACGAGCGCAACCAUUGCCCUUAGUUACAAGUGUCUAAGGGGACUGCCGGCGGGAAGCCGGAGGAAGGUGGGGAUGACGUCAAGUCAGCAUGGCCCUUAUGUCCAGGGCUACACACACGCUACAAUGGUCAGUACAAAGGGUAGCGAAGUCGCGAGGCGGAGCGAAUCUCAACAAAGCUGAUCGUAGUUCGGAUUGCAGGCUGCAACCCGCAUGCAUGAAGCUGGAGUUGCUAGUAACCGCGCGUCAGCCAUAGUGCGGUGAAUACGUACCCGGGGCUUGUACACACCGCCCGUCACGUCAUGGGAGUCGGUAACGCCUGAAGCCGGUAGUCUGGCCCGCAAGGGGGGACGCUGUCGAAGGCGGGACU